Molecule: ribosomal RNA, 1360 nt
Filed under: Salmonella enterica
Lineage: Bacteria; Pseudomonadati; Pseudomonadota; Gammaproteobacteria; Enterobacterales; Enterobacteriaceae
Description: partial 23S ribosomal RNA
Rfam family: Bacterial large subunit ribosomal RNA
Source: RNAcentral
AGCAACAAAUGCCCUGCUUCCAGGAAAAGCCUCUAAGCCUCAGGUAACAUCAAAUCGUACCCCAAACCGACACAGGUGGUCAGGUAGAGAAUACCAAGGCGCUUGAGAGAACUCGGGUGAAGGAACUAGGCAAAAUGGUGCCGUAACUUCGGGAGAAGGCACGCUGACACGUAGGUGAAGUGGUUUACCCAUGGAGCUGAAGUCAGUCGAAGAUACCAGCUGGCUGCAACUGUUUAUUAAAAACACAGCACUGUGCAAACACGAAAGUGGACGUAUACGGUGUGACGCCUGCCCGGUGCCGGAAGGUUAAUUGAUGGGGUCAGCGCAAGCGAAGCUCCUGAUCGAAGCCCCGGUAAACGGCGGCCGUAACUAUAACGGUCCUAAGGUAGCGAAAUUCCUUGUCGGGUAAGUUCCGACCUGCACGAAUGGCGUAAUGAUGGCCAGGCUGUCUCCACCCGGGACUCAGUGAAAUUGAACUCGCUGUGAAGAUGCAGUGUACCCGCGGCAAGACGGAAAGACCCCGUGAACCUUUACUAUAGCUUGACACUGAACACUGGUCCUUGAUGUGCAGGAUAGGUGGGAGGCUUUGAAGUGUGGACGCCAGUCUGCAUGGAGCCAUCCUUGAAAUACCACCCUUUAAUGGCUGGUGUUCUAACGUGGGCCCCUGACCGGGGUUGCGGACAGUGUCUGGUGGGUAGUUUGACUGGGGCGGUCUCCUCCUAAAGAGUAACGGAGGAGCACGAAGGUUGGCUAAUCCUGGUCGGACAUCAGGAGGUUAGUGCAAUGGCAUAAGCCAGCUUGACUGCGAGCGUGACGGCGCGAGCAGGUGCGAAAGCAGGUCAUAGUGAUCCGGUGGUUCUGAAUGGAAGGGCCAUCGCUCAACGGAUAAAAGGUACUCCGGGGAUAACAGGCUGAUACCGCCCAAGAGUUCAUAUCGACGGCGGUGUUUGGCACCUCGAUGUCGGCUCAUCACAUCCUGGGGCUGAAGUAGGUCCCAAGGGUAUGGCUGUUCGCCAUUUAAAGUGGUACGCGAGCUGGGUUUAGAACGUCGUGAGACAGUUCGGUCCCUAUCUGCCGUGGGCGCUGGAAGAUUGAGGGGGGCUGCUCCUAGUACGAGAGGACCGGAGUGGACGCAUCACUGGUGUUCGGGUUGUCAUGCCAAUGGCACUGCCCGGUAGCUACAUGCGGAAGAGAUAAGUGCUGAAAGCAUCUAAGCACGAAACUUGCCCCGAGAUGAAUCUUCCCUGAGCCUUUAAGGCUCCUGAAGGAACGUUGAAGACGACGACGUUGAUAGGCCGGGUGUGUAAGCGCAGCGAUGCGUUGAGCUAACCGGUACUAAUGAACCGUGAGGCUUAACCUU